Molecule: unclassified non-coding RNA, 355 nt
Filed under: Hevea brasiliensis (rubber tree)
Lineage: Eukaryota; Viridiplantae; Streptophyta; Magnoliopsida; Malpighiales; Euphorbiaceae
Source: RNAcentral
AUAUAUAUAUGUAUGUAUAUUAAACAAGUCAGGUACCUAAAUCCAUCAAAGUAAACAAAGGGUAGGAAGAUAUAUAUUGACCAUUUCAUAACCGUGUAAAAGAAACCUAUAACAAAACCCUGGAGAAACGCACAUAAUAAUGAAGCUCGCUACUAUAUAAAGGUUCUCUCAUGGUUAAGCUUUGAGGAAAAGAACAUGGCAACAGAUGCAGAAAACUUGCAAUCACACGCAAAAUAUGUGCAGUUGUUAUAAUUAUAAAAAUGAAAGCAACAACUUCAAUAACUAAAGAGUAGGCUAUUGAAAAAAAAAAAUUGACAGGUGACAGCAUACCAUACCAUAAUAAGAUGAUCGUCCA